Long non-coding RNA from Felis catus (domestic cat), 2839 nucleotides. RefSeq lists it as uncharacterized. The record is from RefSeq and is a predicted model, not a curated record. Lineage: Eukaryota; Metazoa; Chordata; Mammalia; Carnivora; Felidae. The transcript has 10 exons.
CUGGGUGCCUGGGUGGCUCAGUCCCUUAAGCGACACCCUGUUGAUUUCAGUUCAGGUCAUGAUGUCACAGUUGGUGAGUUUGAGGCCUGCGCCCAGCUCAGUGCUUACAAUGCAGAGCCUGAGCGCUACUUUCCCCGCUCCCUCUCUGCCCCUCCCCCACUGGCCCUCUCCCUUUGAAAAUAAAUAAGUGAACUUAAAAAAAAAAAUCUUAAAAAAAUAAAAAAGAAAAGGAAUGAAUUACCGAUAAACACAACUUGGAUGGGUCUCCCGCGCAUUGUGGUGAGGAAGCAAAAACAAACCAAAAAACUAACCCAUUGUGUACGUUCUGUUUGAAUGACAAAAUUAUAAAGAUGGAAAAUGGUUUAGUGAUUGCCAUGGGUUAGGGAGGGGAAGGGGAGAGCAACGCAGUGAGUGACUAUAAAGGGUAGCCUGAGGAAGAUCUUUGUGGUGUCGAAAUAGCUCCGCGUCCUGAAUUGCUGAGGACACAGAUUUACACGAGUCAAAUAGCAACCAUACACGCACUACGACGAAGCCAAAUUCCUGGAUUUGAUUUUGUACUCUAAUUCUGUGAGAGGCAACCUAACAGGAAGCCGCGAAGGGCACCUGGAGCUUCUUGGCAAUACUUUGGUAACAUCCCGUGACUCCAUGUGAAGCGUAAGCACCUGACAGGUGGCGGUUUGGACCGGAAGGCCAAGUUUCUUUUGUUUCUUUUGUUGAGCGGUCCCUGGUUUGACUGCUCCUUUUUCCUGCGUGGCUUUCCUCAUUGGUUUCUCCCUUCUAGCUCUUUGACGCUGGCGCUUUAAUUUUCGCGCUUCUGUUUUAAAGUCACCAAUACACUUCAAGCCCGCGACGCGGAAACCAGAACCGCCCGCCCUCCACCCGGAUAAAAGCCGAACCCGAGGCACGUGGUCUCGCGCCCUACCUGUGACCUCAGGCGGUGCUCAGGUUCCUUCAGGACGGGUGGUCAACUCAGUCCCAAAGCAGAUGAUCCUCCUUUUGGAUGAAUGGUCAAAAGCCAAAGAGUGCCUUGGUGAUUUUCGUACGGUGGGUAAGCUUGUACUACCUGUACUGGCGAACUGACUAGAGUCUAGAGAAGAGGAAAUGAGUGGACGUGGAGCCUGGGAAGUAAGAUGCCAAAACAUCUUAGAAGUUGGCUUUGAUUCACCUGCAGGUGCGAAGAGUUGAAUUUGGCUUUUUGUCCCAGGAUUAUGGAAGAGAGACAGAGAGAGUGGGAUGUGGUACUUAGAAGACCUGAAAGAGAACAGUUGAUGGAGUCUGGACUUUAAGAAAGAGUGUUACGGUGUCUUUUAGGAACUUAAAAGCUCAAAGACCUUUGUUUAUUAUACUGGCGGAAAGUGGAGAGUACCUGGACCUGCUUUUCCAUUGGAAUGGCUUAAGGAUAAACUGGAGGUGGAGAUUCUAGUCUUCAUCUUGAUGUCAAGGAGAAUUUCUGAGAAAGAAUGUCGUCAUUGCUGUGACUUCAAUAGAGAUCACAAUAUCAGAAGCCUAUCAUAUUCAGGAAGCUGUAUGCUCCAGAAAUGUGUGGCAUCUGCCAAAGGGACAUCCCAUGCCUUGACUCUUGGCAUCCACUACUGUUCCUCAAAAUGAUGAGUGUUUGGGGUAAUUUUCUUCCUUAUGGCCAGACAUAGACUAUUUCUCAUGGUAUGCACUUGGAUGAGAAGUAGCAUCGUGGGAUGGUUUAGAGAGUCCAUUGAUCAGAACUAGGCUGCCUCAGUUUGCCUAUGUGAACUGAAUAUUUGCAGUGAAAUUUAAGCCUCUUAAAGACCUGGUUUCUUACUACCUUCUCAGCCUCAAUUCCAACUACUCUGCUCAUCCUCUGCCAUCUGGUAAUGUGAAACCUAGUUCCAAUGUUGUAGCAAUUGAGGUGAAGGGUAAGCAAUGGUGAUUAAAGCAAAGAGACACAAAUAAGUGCAUUUCUUCUGUAACUCUCCAGCUAGCCUAUGCGGGUGAGGCCACUGUGCUCCAUGAAGUCAUCCAGGGAUCCAGGUUCCUUCCUUCAUUUAUUUGCUUUGCCAUUCAUUAGACAUCAGACUCUGCCAUUCACUAGACAUCAGACUCUGCCACAUGGUCCAAGCUGAGAUGCAAAUCAUCUGAUUUUUAGCAAGAGGGAAAAAGAGAUGAAGUCUUUUGCUCAAGAGGAGAAACUGCACAAGUCACUGUUGCUAACCCUGCCACUCAUAGCGGCAAGGGAGACUGGAACUUGUGACAGAUUUGGGGGUACAAUCAGCCACUCAUUUUAUGGAAGACUCAGAUUGCCUAAAUACAGAGCAAUUACUUUAUUUUUUGUACCUUGAACAUAACAAUGCACUUACCAAUAUAUUAUAUAUUUCAAUGUCUGCCUCUAAUAAGAGACUGCAAAAUCCUCAAAAUGAAGGUAAGGUCUUUUCAUUUAUGUAGGGCCUAAACCUUACACAUGGUUGCACAUGGUUACUGAGCUGAUUUGAAUAGUUUGCAUUGUUGUGACAGGUAUUUGGGUACAGAGAUUAUAACAACUGCAUUUUAUAGAUGGGGGGCAGGGAAUCCUGAGGCUCUAACAACAUCAAAUGACAUUUACAAAAUCAAGUUCAUGAUGAAACUAUUAGAGCGAACUUUUUUUAUUUCUGGUUCAAUUUUAUUAAAGCAAGGCAAGCAAUGUCGUGGGUCUGCUCUGGCAUGGAAAUCAUUAAUUUAAAAACUAGACACUAGUCAUUUGAAUGAUACUGUGUUUAUUGUGUGUGGAUUCUUUUUAAUGUCAACAUCUGAAGGCAGCCUUCUGCAUCCCCUAAGAGUUAUUUUUAAAAGAGAGAAAACAGUGGCACCUGUGGCUCAGUCAGUUAAG